Molecule: ribosomal RNA, 253 nt
Filed under: uncultured bacterium
Lineage: Bacteria
Description: partial 16S ribosomal RNA
Rfam family: Bacterial small subunit ribosomal RNA
Source: RNAcentral
UACAGAGGUCCCAAGCGUUGUUCGGAUUCACUGGGCGUAAAGGGUGCGUAGGUGGUCGGGUAAGUCUAAUGUGAAAUCUCCAAGCUCAACUUGGAGACUGCAUCGGAUACUAUUCGGCUAGAGGGUUGGAGGGGGGACUGGAAUACUUGGUGUAGCAGUGAAAUGCGUAGAUAUCAAGUGGAACACCAGUGGCGAAGGCGAGUCCCUAGACAACUCCUGACACUGAGGCACGAAAGCUAGGGGAGCAAACAGG